RNAcentral lists this ribosomal RNA (198 nucleotides) under uncultured bacterium. Its description in RNAcentral is "partial 16S ribosomal RNA". It matches the Rfam family "Bacterial small subunit ribosomal RNA", at positions 328 to 539 of the family's 1533-position model. The record is from RNAcentral.
ACGCUCGACACCUACUGGAGGCAGCAGUGGGGAAUAUUGCACAAUGGGGGAAACCCUGAUGCAGCGACGCCGCGUGAGCGAAGAAGUAUCUCGGUAUGUAAAGCUCUAUCAGCAGGGAAGAAGAUGACGGUACCUGACUAAGAAGCGCCGGCUAAAUACGUGCCAGCAGCCGCGGUAAUCUGAGCGGGCUGGCAAGGC